GAUGAGCGCUGGCGGCGUGCUUAACACAUGCAAGUCGAACGAAGCAUUUAGAACAGAUUAUUUCGGUAUGAAGUUCUUUAUGACUGAGUGGCGGACGGGUGAGUAACGCGUGGGUAACCUGCCUUGUACUGGGGGAUAGCAGCUGGAAACGGCUGGUAAUACCGCAUAAGCGCACAAUGUUGCAUGACAUGGUGUGAAAAACUCCGGUGGUAUAAGAUGGACCCGCGUCUGAUUAGCUAGUUGGUGAGAUAACAGCCCACCAAGGCGACGAUCAGUAGCCGACCUGAGAGGGUGACCGGCCACAUUGGGACUGAGACACGGCCCAGACUCCUACGGGAGGCAGCAGUAGGGGAAUAUUGCACAAUGGAGGAAACUCUGAUGCAGCGACGCCGCGUGAGUGAAGAAGUAAUUCGUUAUGUAAAGCUCUAUCAGCAGGGAAGAUAGUGACGGUACCUGACUAAGAGGCUCCGGCUAAAUACGUGCCAGCCGCCGCGGUAA
RNAcentral lists this ribosomal RNA (498 nucleotides) under uncultured bacterium. Its description in RNAcentral is "partial 16S ribosomal RNA". It matches the Rfam family "Bacterial small subunit ribosomal RNA", at positions 28 to 523 of the family's 1533-position model. The record is from RNAcentral.